AUGGAUAAAGUUUCUAUAUUGAGCUGGAAUGUUCGGGGUACCAACAAUGUGGUCAAUCGAUUUAACAUUCGUUCAUUAAUGUUAGAUAGUAAAGCAAUGAUACUAUGUCUUCAAGAGACAAAAAGAGCCCAGUGGAAUGAAAAAAUGAUUGGUUCAUUAGGAAUCACUGGGGAGGCUCAGUGGAUUGAUUCUCCCUCUCAAGGCCUUUCUGGCGGACUUCUUUUGGCUUGGGAUAGAUCAAUUAUUGUGACUUCUGAUAUGGGGUGCCACCAAAACUGGCAAUGGAUUAUUGGAUCUCAGAUAGGGUGUGCUGAUGAAUUCUUAUGUGUUAACAUAUAUGCUCCUCAAAAGAGCGUUCAUAAGCAAAAGCUGUGGCUAGAGAUCUCCUCCUUUUUACUCUCAAAGUCCAAUUUGCCAUUAGUUGUCCUUGGAGAUUUUAAUGUCGUUCUAUCUGAUCUAGAAAGGGAAAAUUGUAUCUACAAUGAUAGAGACACAACAGCCCUACUAGCAUUCAUGAACGACAAUGGUCUGUCGGAUGUUCCCCUGAAUAAUGGUUUGUUUACUUGGUUUGGUCCUGAAAACAGAAAGAGUAGACUUGACCGUGCUCUGAUCAACUCAAAAUGGAAUAACACAGGUAACUGGUCGCUCCAAGGGCUUAAUAGAAAAUCCUCGGACCAUCGCCCAAUAUUUCUCUAUAGCAACAAGUCAGAUUGGGGCCCUCGCCCAUUCAGAUUGUUCAACUGCUGGCUUCAAAAUGCUGAAUUCCUAAGAAGUCUGGGUGAAGUGUGGAAGGCAAAUUCGACCUCCUCUCUCAACACUCGUUUUAGGGAAAUACGCAGGUAUGCCAAGAUGUGGAACCAAAACUCGAAUGGUAAUGUGGAUGCCAAGAUAGCUAAACUGGAGAAAGACCAAGAGGAGGCUGAUGACAAAAAUGAGGCACAGAGUAUAAAAAAGAAAAUAAAGGAAGAAUUGGAGUUAGCUUAUGAGCAUAAAUCGAGCAUGUUGUGCCAACUUUCAAGAAUGAACUGGCAAUUGCAUGGGGAGCGUAAUUCAAGAAUCUUUCACAGAGCCAUUGCAGGCAGAAAUCGAGUCAAACUCAUCCAUGGUUUAGAGAUGAAUUCAGGAUGGACUACAGAACCUAACAUAAUCAAAAGAGUCUUCUUCAAACACUUUCAAGACUUCUUCUGCAGACCCCCUGCUGAUCGAAUUUUCUCCCUUCAUCAAGGACUUCUCCCAAGUCUUUCUAACGAGGGCAGUAAACUCCUAGUAGAGGAUUUCACUGAACUAGAAAUCUGGCAGGCUCUGCAAGCCUCGGACUCGAACAAAGCGCCGGGACCUGAUGGUGUUAAUCCAGGGGUACUGAAAGCACUCUGGCCAACUAUAAAAGGAGAUAUCUGCAGCACAUUCAAUAUCUUCCAUUCCUCGGGAUUCAUUCCUCCGGGAUCUAACUCUUCGUUUAUAGCUCUAAUUCCGAAAAAGAGUGCUGCUUCAAAGCCUUCAGACUUCCGCCCUAUUUCUCUAAUGAAUUCAAGCAUGAAACUCAUCUCCAAGGUCUUGGCUAGAAGGUUGAGUCCUUUCAUGAACACUCUAAUUUCCCAUACUCAGACAGCUUUUGUAAAAGGAAGGCAAAUCUCAGACGGUAUUCUCCUCACUUCAGAAAUUUAUCACUCUCUAAAAUCAGCUCGUAGCAGGGGUCUUAUUCUUAAAAUUGACUUUGCAAAAGCGUUUGAUUCUAUAAACUGGGGAUUCCUAUUUGAGGUAAUGGAACUAAUGCAGUUUGAUUCGAAGUGGAUCCACUGGAUCAGAAAACUUUUUGAUUCCUCGAGGGUAUCGAUCCUAGUUAAUGGCAGCCCUACGGAUGAAUUCCACCCUACCAGGGGUCUCCGUCAAGGAGAUCCUUUAUCUCCUCUCCUAUUCAACCUUAUUGGCGAGGCUCUCUCAUGUUUACUCAAAUCUGCUCAUAAUUCAGGGUUGUUUAAUGGAGUAUCAGUAGCCGGCCAUCCAGAAAAAAUUUCUCACCUACAGUUCGCGGACGAUAUUAUUUUAUUUGUGGCAAAUGACUCUCACUCAGUUCGUGGGAUCAAGGCAACACUUAAAAUCUUUGAGGUAAUUUCAGGGCUAAAGAUCAACUAUGGGAAAAGCAAACUGUAUGGAUUCAAAGAAAGUCCUGAGCAACUUAAGCAGUGGGCUGAUUGGUUAGGUUGUUCCAUCGGUAAUGACCAAUUCACUUAUUUAGGUGCUACUAUCGGCCAGUCACCAAAGAAAUCUAUCUUCUGGAAACCACUUGAGCAGAAAUUAGUGUCUAAACUGCAAAAAUGGGACUCAGCUAAUGUUUCAAUGGCGGGCCGAUUGGUUCUCCUUCAAUCUGUGCUUGAUAGCUUGCCGGCGUAUUGGUUCAGUUUGUUUAAAAUGCCUCAAAAAACUAUCAAGUUCAUAGACAAGAAGCGUAGACAUUUCCUGUGGGGAGGUAAAUCAGAUGCGGCAAGGAAAAUGCACCUCUUAAAUUGGGAACGCCUCUGCAUUCCAAAACAUUCUGGUGGUUUAGGCAUUGCCCCUCUCGAAGCUAGAAACAUUUCACUAUUAUCUAAAUGGUGGUGGAGAUGCUACUCGCAAAGAGACCACCUCUGGAACAAAAUUUUAUCUCGUAAGUAUGGAGAAAAGAUUAGGUUCAACCUUGGAUCCCUGGCUGGAAGCCAAGGCAUUUCCCCGAUUAUGCAAGGCAUUUCUAGCAUUCGAAACAACAGAGCUGUGGAACCUCUUCUUAAUGAUAACAGUUUUAAAUGGAAACUCGGGAAUGGGGAGUCGAUUUUUUUCUGGGAAGAUUGGUGGAGGGGGGACAGACCUCUAUCGUCUUUAUACCCUCGAAUAUAUACCCUUUCAAGGUUGAAGUUUAAAUCAGUUGCUGAGUUUUUAGUUCUUUGGACUGAAAAUGGUCUCAAUUCAAGCAUCUGGCAAGAUGGUAUUAUCCCCACUGAUAUGGCAGAAAUUUCAUCAUUGAACGACUUAAUAGAAGACCUCCAAGUUACACAUCAACAGGAUACCCUGGUUUGGCUAGGGGACAAGUGUUCUUUCUCCUCUAAAGUCAUCCUAAAGCGCAUUGUGCCUGCUAGUACUUCUUCUAACCCCAGGCAAAGAAUUUGGUCACUAAUUUGGAGUCUCAAAGUUCCACCGAAGAUUAGAAUAUUUCUAUGGAAAAUUCAAUGGGGAGUACUACCAACCAAAUUUUUGCUUCAUUCCAGGAUGCCAGACUUAAAUCCAAUGUGUGAUAAGUGUGGUAACAGGGUUGAGACUUUAAAUCAUCUGCUUUGGGAGUGUGAAGUGGCUAAAUGGGUGUGGAAAUUUAUAGCAAUUUGGUGGAAUUUAGAAUCAAAAUUUAGACGACUAAAUUACUUUUCACUCGAGAUUAUUAUGUCAUUCCAACGUUCAGCGGUAUCAUCAAGAGUAUGGCACACGGUUGUUGCAGCGGCAGUUUGGUCCAUUUGGCUGGCAAGAAACGAGUUGGUAUUCCAAUCUACCUCGCCUUCUCGCUCAUGCCUUCUCAACUUAAUUUUCACCAGAAUCAGCAAAUGGGGUGAGGCCUCUAAACUGAUUCCUUUUGCAGCUGACCCACUUUGGAAAUCCAACCCCAAUGGAGCUGUGGCAAUUUAUUUCAAUAAACUGAAUACGGAGUACUGGAAUUAUAAACUGAUGUCACAUGACUUAGUAUGUGCAGUGGAUGGUGCUUGGGGUGAGUGUGUGGAUGGAUCAUUUAAAGGUGCAAUUGGUGGUCGAGUUGUAAAUAAAAAUAAGAAGAUUCUGCAUGUUUUCUCGAUACCGGUACAAGUGGAAAAUGGUCUUCAAGCUGAACUGGAAGCUCUAAUCUAUGCUAUAGGACUGGCCUCUAGCCACUAUCACAAGGUCACUAGAUAUGCAAUUUGUUCUGACUCUAAGGAAGCUCUUCAGUUAAUCCGGGAUAGGGAGGAAGUAGGCAAUAUCUUGCAACGUUCAAUUUCAGAUUUUAUUCCCCUUCUGGAUUCUUCAGUCAGCCUAUACUAUGUCUCAAGGGAACUCAAUGUUGAAGCAGAUGCUCUAGCUAAAAAGGGCAUCCAAAGAAUUGCACCAGCUGUAUUCUGGGAUAUUGGACAGCAAAGCUACGAUAUGAUAGACUUACAGGAAUCGAAAUCUCCAUGACAGAAGAUAUGGAUACUUCUCUCAGAAUAUCUCCAGGUUUUAAGGAUUGCUGGAUCUUUAUCCAUUGGUUUUGGUUCCAUCUAGUUUCCAUCAGUCUAUUUACUGCUUCUGCAACUUUCUCUUGGGGUAUUUAUACCCCUCCUGGUAGUCUGGAUCAGUACGCUUUCUAACGUUGGUGUGCUAAAUCUCUCUAAGCCUCCAAUGGACUACAUGUGGCUUCCUCCAGAUCCAAACACCCUUAAGAUCAAUGUGCACUGCAUUACCACAGCUGAGCCCCUUCCUAAUGGCAAUAGUAAUAGUGUGGGGGUUAUUGUGAGGGAUCCAACUGGGAAAGAAAUCUGGAGCGCCGCGGGGCCAAUGCCAGGGAAAUCUAAACUUCAUGCUACUCUCUGGGGCAUCUAUCAUGGUGCUCUGCAGUGUCACCAGUUGGAAGAGUGGAAAACCCACAUUGAAACAGACCACUGGGGAGCCUUUGAGGCCAUUCGUUUUCAAGAGGAGAUGCCUCCGCAGGAGAAUGUGCAGGAAGUCCUUCGCCUCUUUAAUACUCUACACUCCAACAACUUCAAGAUUGGAACCACUGUUCGAGAAAUUACUCGUAUUCCAAUAGUGCAGAAUGGAACAGCGGCGUACCUUGCCCGCUAUGGUUUGGAUAAUAUGAGUCUCUUUGCAGAAACUCCAGGUUCCUUUGGAGAGAAACAGUUCAUGUUGGCCAGAGAUAUGUGUAACACCCGUGAAAUUCACAAGUAUGAAAGAAAUACAUUUAUUUAAUGUAAUUAAUUAUUGUGCAAAAAAGACUAUUUUAUCAGUCUCGGAUUUAAUAGAAAUUUAUAAUGCGAGAAGUAGUAAUUAAAAUAUUGUAGCUGCAAGAAUUCUAGAAAAUGCGUAGCAUUAUUGUGUAUGAACCAAUAUUUAAUAUUAGAAAUGUACAUUAACCCGAGAGCUGCGUUUAUACCAAAAAUAUAGUAGACGCGAUUAUUUAUUUAUAGACUCUUGAAUAAAUAUUAUGUUUUAGUCGAGCUGAUUAUAGUAUCUGUAUUACUUUAUAAAUUUGGGGGAUUGGUAAGAAAAUAUUAAAAUAGUUAUUGAUAUAUUUAUUAAAUUAUUUUGUACGAUAUUUAAUUAUAUUCGUCCGCGGUUAAUAAAAUAAAACGAUACGAGAAAAUUAGAAAUAAGCGAAGCUAAUAAAUUUUUCGGAGCGUUGCUUGCAGCGCAAGCAUUAAAGCUUAGGGCCCAAGUCUCGAUACUUAGCGCCCAAGUAAGAUUAUUAAUUAACAUAUAAUUAGUAGUCAUUAAGGAUUAAUGAGGAUUAGCAAAAUGAUAUAAAUACCAAAGAAAUGAAUCUAAAAUUCUCACAAAAACCUGUGAAAGGAAGGAUAGCAAACCAGUAGUGUAAAAGGAGGGUGUUUACAACUCAAGCAUAUUUUAAGGAGCUUUUCUUCCCCAAAUAUUUGAAAACUAAAAUUAGGUUCACAACGUUUGGGGUUUUGACUUGAUUGUUGCUUGUGUUGUUUUAAUCGAAGUUUGAGUUAAAUUGCGGGCUGAAUUGUUGACGGAAUCGGAGCUGUUAGCGUGCGGAGUGGACGGUCGGAGCUCGCGUCGGCGUCGCCGACGGAGCCUCGCGGAGGUGACAGGAGAGGGAGGUCGAGAAAGAAAGAAAAGGGGGAAGAGAGUGGUUGUGUGUGCCGAGUGCGUGUGUGUUGUGUGCGUUGUGUGUGUGAGUCGAGUGUGUGCGUGUAGGAUGAACCACCGCUGCUGCGGUGGUGGUGAUGAGGUCGACGGAAAGAGAGGGAGGGAGAGAGGAGAGAUGUGGAGAGGGAGGUGAGAUGGAGAAGACAAGGGCAAGUCAUUGAAUUAUAAAUCGAUUCUGAUAAAUAAUCCGCUGGGCAUUAAUUUGAUGUCGGAAUGUAAAAUAAAAUUCAUAUUUGGAUUCCUUGUGAAAAAAUAGAUGGAAUGGACUCUAGAAUCACAUGAUUUGGAUGAAAAAUGAGGGAGUAAUGCUUGGUCAAAGUUUGGCCAUGGGUGUUGACUUCGGGGAGAGAGAAAGUAGAUGGGUGUGUUGGAGAAGAUGAUGAUGUGGCAGCUUGUGAUUGGCUAAAAUAUUAAAGACUAGUAUUAAAUUAAUUUGAGAGACUAAAUGAUGGAAUUAAUAAAAGUGUAAAACAUGAAAGUUUAAGUAAAUAAUAUUUCAGAUUUAAUGGUAAAACCUAAUUUUGGGUUCGAGAGAUAUUAAAUUAAUUUAUAUUAUGGUUGAUUUAAUAAAUAGUUAGUUAAAUUGGAGGAUUUAGUUAAUAAUUGGAUAAAACGAAUAGUUUAGAAAAAUGAGACUUUUGGGAUAGUAACAUGAGUUAGUAAGGAAUAUUUUGCUUAAAUUAAUAAUAAGAGGAGAAUAAAUGGGAAAUGAUCUAAAUAAAUAAGAUGAGGAAUUAUAAGUAGAUUUUACGAUAUCAUCAUUUUAAGAUUAGAUUCUAAUUUAUUAUUUUGUGACAUAGAAGAUUGAUUAUCUGGAAGGCGGGCUUGAUUAUUCAACUUAAAAUUGGAACGUGGUGCACUGUAAGUAUAUACUGUACCAUUCGCUGUUGAUAUUUCGUGAUGUUUUGGUGAACAUUUUUACUGAUGAUUUUCUGAUGAGAAAUGAGUAUUCUUGCAUUGAUACUUGAUGAACUGAUGAUGAUGCUUCCUUAUUGGAAGUAAAGCUAAACCAAUUGUUUAGCUGGCCGGGAUCCCAACUUGAUGAACUGAUGAACUUAUCGUGCUUGAAUACUCAUACUCAUACUCAUCUUGAUGUGUGAAACUGUUUGAUGACUCUGAUGAAAUAUUGAUUUGGUUCACCAAGUUUUGUGAAUAAAACUCAGUUGAAAUGUACGUAUAUGCUUACUGAGCUUUAUGAGCUCAUCCCUUUUUAUGUACUAAUCUUACAGGGAAGAAUUCUGGAGAAGGAUAUUCAGGCAAGGGUAAAAGUGUGAUGAACCGAAGUGCUAGACUUGGUUGGAUUUGAAAUUAGAAGUUUAGUAGAAGUAUUAUGUAAUCGAAAGAAAUAUUUGUGAACUUUUAGAAGAGUGAUGUAAGACUCUGAUGUAAGGUAAAAUAUGCCUUUAAAUUAUAUUAAGUUUGAGAUUACAAAGUUACAUUUCAGUGUGUUCAGUAGAAUGGCACCCCCGGGCCGGGUUGCUGAAGUCAUCACGGGCCGGGGGCGUCACAGGUGGUAUCAGAGCUAUAGGUUCGAGAAUCGGCGAAAGUAGGAUUAAGACUUUAGACUAGUGUGAUUUUUAAGUUAGAAAAGUGGUCUAGGGGAUAUAUGGAUCAUAGUGGUGAAUGUGCGGAUAAACUAUGUGUUUAGUACUUACUAUAGCUGGAACCCCCAGUGUAAAUGGGACUAUAGAUCCCGUUGAGGCCAAGAUAUGGCUAAGAGAAAUAAGGAAGACUUUUGAAAUAGUUGGUGGAGAAGAGGAUAAGAAAACUAUCUUUGAUGCUUAUUGCUUAAUGGAGAGGCUAAUUAUUUGUUAGAAGCUAAGCAAGUUAUAGAAGAAUCUAGUGUGAUAUAGAAAUAGCUGACCAGGAAGUAAUUAUAGUAGAUAAGGUUUGUCCUAGUUGUAAGAUAACCGUUCAAAAGAAAAUCUUUGAGAAAAAUCUUAUUUCUUUGACUUUUUUUUCAAUCCGAUUGGGAUGAACAACCCUAAUCAUAGGGGACACAAGGUAUACCUGUCUGUGUGAUAGGAGUUGGAUGGGACGCCAUCACUUGUGUGUGUUGUGAUUACAAGAAGGUUAACAACCUUUAGUAGUGUCUUAAUUUAGACACGCAACACUCAGUUCACUUGAUCAUAAUUGAUCUCCCAAUCAUCCUUUUACUUCAAAUGAAAGCUAUUUUGAAAACUCAUUGAUCAGUGAUUACCAUUGUUAAAGACUUCUAAGAAAGUUUAAAUUUCUUAUUUCCUUUGAGUUCUUUUCAAAAUGCUCAGAUUUAAAAUCCUUUGAUUGUGUUUUUUUUUAAAAUAUAGUUUGUUUGAGAAAGUGUUUUAAGAAGAUGUAUGGUGAUGUCAGAUCCAGACUCCCGGAUUUGAAGGAUGUCACAUAGCUUAUCGAGAAUUAAAUAAGAUACCCUUUACCUAGGGUUGAUGAUAUGUUUGACCAAUUGAAGGAUUCAUCUUACUUUUCUGAGAUAGACUUGAGAUCUGAAUACCAUCAAUUAAGGAUCAGACCUAAAAAAAUGUACCUAAGACGGCAUUUGCGACCCGACAUGAACAUUGUGAGUUCUUAAGAGAUGCCUUUCGGAUUGACUAAUGCACCUAUAGCAUUUAUGGAUCUUAUGAAUAGGGUAUUUAAGAAAUAUUCGGAUAAGUUUGUUGUUAUAUUAAUCCAUAAUAUUUAUCCUUUGACCAAAUUGAUUAGGAAAGAAGAGAAGUUUGAUGGACUAAGUACGAAUAGAGUUUUCAGGAAUCAAAGAAGCGACUACAAUGGCCGCCGUGUUAAUCUUACCUGACGAGACAUGAUCUUUGUAAUUUAUAGUGAUUCAUCUCACAAGGAACUAGGAUGUGUUUUUAUGCAAUAUGGAAAAGUGAUAGUAUAUGAGUUAAAGACAAUUUAAGGAUUUCAAGUUGAGAUAUCCUACCCAUGAUCUAGAAUUAACUACUAUAGUAUCUACUUUAAAGAUUUGGCAACCUUAGUUGUAUGGUGAGAAUUGUGAGAUAUUUACAUAUCAUAAGAGUUUAAAAUACUUGUUUACUCAAAAAGAGUUAAAUAUGAGACAAAUAGAAUUGUUAAAGGACUAUGACUGUACGAUUAACUAUCACACAGGGGAAAGCAAAUUUAGUUGCCAAGGUAUUAAGUUGAAAAGAAAGAAUUAAGGUUAUAUCAUUAUCAAAGGAAAUUGAUUAUGUAAAUGAAAAGGCUUGGAAUAGAGAUUAAGAAGUCAGAGCAUAAGGAGGGAAGAUUUAUGAGAGGUUAGUGCACCCAGAGUUAAUAAAAAGAGUUACUUAGGAAUUCGAAGAUGUAAUGAGGAAAAGCUACCCGGAGUAGUUAAGCACCAGUCGGGAUUCCGAGGACGGAAUCCUAUAAGGAGGGAAGAAUGUAACACCCGUGAAAUUCACAAGUAUGAAAGAAAUACAUUUAUUUAAUGUAAUUAAUUAUUGUGCAAAAAAGACUAUUUUAUCAGUCUCGGAUUUAAUAGAAAUUUAUAAUGCGAGAAGUAGUAAUUAAAAUAUUGUAGCUGCAAGAAUUCUAGAAAAUGCGUAGCAUUAUUGUGUAUGAACCAAUAUUUAAUAUUAGAAAUGUACAUUAACCCGAGAGCUGCGUUUAUACCAAAAAUAUAGUAGACGCGAUUAUUUAUUUAUAGACUCUUGAAUAAAUAUUAUGUUUUAGUCGAGCUGAUUAUAGUAUCUGUAUUACUUUAUAAAUUUGGGGGAUUGGUAAGAAAAUAUUAAAAUAGUUAUUGAUAUAUUUAUUAAAUUAUUUUGUACGAUAUUUAAUUAUAUUCGUCCGCGGUUAAUAAAAUAAAACGAUACGAGAAAAUUAGAAAUAAGCGAAGCUAAUAAAUUUUUCGGAGCGUUGCUUGCAGCGCAAGCAUUAAAGCUUAGGGCCCAAGUCUCGAUACUUAGCGCCCAAGUAAGAUUAUUAAUUAACAUAUAAUUAGUAGUCAUUAAGGAUUAAUGAGGAUUAGCAAAAUGAUAUAAAUACCAAAGAAAUGAAUCUAAAAUUCUCACAAAAACCUGUGAAAGGAAGGAUAGCAAACCAGUAGUGUAAAAGGAGGGUGUUUACAACUCAAGCAUAUUUUAAGGUAAAAGAAAAACUUCCUUUCACCUUCUUUUUAAUAUAUAGUUGUGAUGGUUAUAUUUAUAUUUUAUACUUGACUAAUUGGACUCUUGCUGUACUUUUAUAUUUAUUAAUUCACUAUGUUGGUGAAUAACUCAGACUUACACUUCCUCGUAUAACAGGAGCUUUUCUUCCCCAAAUAUUUGAAAACUAAAAUUAGGUUCACAACGUUUGGGGUUUUGACUUGAUUGUUGCUUGUGUUGUUUUAAUCGAAGUUUGAGUUAAAUUGCGGGCUGAAUUGUUGACGGAAUCGGAGCUGUUAGCGUGCGGAGUGGACGGUCGGAGCUCGCGUCGGCGUCGCCGACGGAGCCUCGCGGAGGUGACAGGAGAGGGAGGUCGAGAAAGAAAGAAAAGGGGGAAGAGAGUGGUUGUGUGUGCCGAGUGCGUGUGUGUUGUGUGCGUUGUGUGUGUGAGUCGAGUGUGUGCGUGUAGGAUGAACCACCGCUGCUGCGGUGGUGGUGAUGAGGUCGACGGAAAGAGAGGGAGGGAGAGAGGAGAGAUGUGGAGAGGGAGGUGAGAUGGAGAAGACAAGGGCAAGUCAUUGAAUUAUAAAUCGAUUCUGAUAAAUAAUCCGCUGGGCAUUAAUUUGAUGUCGGAAUGUAAAAUAAAAUUCAUAUUUGGAUUCCUUGUGAAAAAAUAGAUGGAAUGGACUCUAGAAUCACAUGAUUUGGAUGAAAAAUGAGGGAGUAAUGCUUGGUCAAAGUUUGGCCAUGGGUGUUGACUUCGGGGAGAGAGAAAGUAGAUGGGUGUGUUGGAGAAGAUGAUGAUGUGGCAGCUUGUGAUUGGCUAAAAUAUUAAAGACUAGUAUUAAAUUAAUUUGAGAGACUAAAUGAUGGAAUUAAUAAAAGUGUAAAACAUGAAAGUUUAAGUAAAUAAUAUUUCAGAUUUAAUGGUAAAACCUAAUUUUGGGUUCGAGAGAUAUUAAAUUAAUUUAUAUUAUGGUUGAUUUAAUAAAUAGUUAGUUAAAUUGGAGGAUUUAGUUAAUAAUUGGAUAAAACGAAUAGUUUAGAAAAAUGAGACUUUUGGGAUAGUAACAUGAGUUAGUAAGGAAUAUUUUGCUUAAAUUAAUAAUAAGAGGAGAAUAAAUGGGAAAUGAUCUAAAUAAAUAAGAUGAGGAAUUAUAAGUAGAUUUUACGAUAUCAUCAUUUUAAGAUUAGAUUCUAAUUUAUUAUUUUGUGACAUAGAAGAUUGAUUAUCUGGAAGGCGGGCUUGAUUAUUCAACUUAAAAUUGGAACGUGGUGCACUGUAAGUAUAUACUGUACCAUUCGCUGUUGAUAUUUCGUGAUGUUUUGGUGAACAUUUUUACUGAUGAUUUUCUGAUGAGAAAUGAGUAUUCUUGCAUUGAUACUUGAUGAACUGAUGAUGAUGCUUCCUUAUUGGAAGUAAAGCUAAACCAAUUGUUUAGCUGGCCGGGAUCCCAACUUGAUGAACUGAUGAACUUAUCGUGCUUGAAUACUCAUACUCAUACUCAUCUUGAUGUGUGAAACUGUUUGAUGACUCUGAUGAAAUAUUGAUUUGGUUCACCAAGUUUUGUGAAUAAAACUCAGUUGAAAUGUACGUAUAUGCUUACUGAGCUUUAUGAGCUCAUCCCUUUUUAUGUACUAAUCUUACAGGGAAGAAUUCUGGAGAAGGAUAUUCAGGCAAGGGUAAAAGUGUGAUGAACCGAAGUGCUAGACUUGGUUGGAUUUGAAAUUAGAAGUUUAGUAGAAGUAUUAUGUAAUCGAAAGAAAUAUUUGUGAACUUUUAGAAGAGUGAUGUAAGACUCUGAUGUAAGGUAAAAUAUGCCUUUAAAUUAUAUUAAGUUUGAGAUUACAAAGUUACAUUUCAGUGUGUUCAGUAGAAUGGCACCCCCGG
Molecule: RNA transcript, 11829 nt
Organism: Daucus carota subsp. sativus
Lineage: Eukaryota; Viridiplantae; Streptophyta; Magnoliopsida; Apiales; Apiaceae
Gene name: long chain acyl-CoA synthetase 6, peroxisomal
Exons: 2
Source: RefSeq, a predicted model, not a curated record